GGCUGGUCCAGUGGGAGUGGGUUCUCAGAAAAUUUAUUAGUGUUUGUGUCACUGAAGUUUGUAAACCCCUGUCCACACUGCUGAGUUUGACUGGUUUAAA
Molecule: unclassified non-coding RNA, 100 nt
Organism: Erinaceus europaeus (western European hedgehog)
Lineage: Eukaryota; Metazoa; Chordata; Mammalia; Eulipotyphla; Erinaceidae
Rfam family: Y RNA
About the family: Y RNAs are components of the Ro ribonucleoprotein particle (Ro RNP), in association with Ro60 and La proteins. The Y RNAs and Ro60 and La proteins are well conserved, but the function of the Ro RNP is not known. In humans the RNA component can be one of four small RNAs -- hY1, hY3, hY4 and hY5.
Source: Ensembl